RNAcentral lists this ribosomal RNA (507 nucleotides) under Synalpheus duffyi. Its description in RNAcentral is "partial 16S ribosomal RNA". It matches the Rfam family "Bacterial large subunit ribosomal RNA", at positions 1832 to 2606 of the family's 2925-position model. Lineage: Eukaryota; Metazoa; Arthropoda; Malacostraca; Decapoda; Alpheidae. The record is from RNAcentral.
UGUGAAUGUUAAUAUUUAGUCUGACCUGCCCACUGAGUUUUAAAGGGCUGCGGUAAUUUGACCGUGCGAAGGUAGCAUAAUCAAUAGUCUUUUAAUUGGAGGCUUGAAUGAAUGGUUUGACGGAGGAAAAUCUGUCUCUUUAAUUGUAUUGAAGUUAACAUUUGUGUGAAAAGGCAUCAAUAUUUUAGAGUGACGAUAAGACCCUAUAAAAUUUUACAUGUUAUAUUAUUUGAUUGAAUUGUUSAGUAAUURUUARRUGGUUUAUUGGUGUUUUGCUGGGGCGGCUUGAAUAUAAURCUAACUGUUUAUAAUAUAAAAUAUUUAUUAAUAGAGAGAGGUCCUUUACUAAGGAGGUAAGAGUAAGUUACUUUAGGGAUAACAGCAUAAUUUCUUUUGAGAGUUCGUAUCGAAGAAGGUAGUUGUGACCUCGAUGUUGAAUUAAACUGUCCUUUAGGUGCAGGAGUUUGGAAGGAGGGCCUGUUCGGCCUAUAAAUGUUUACGUGAUCU